AAGGGGGGCAACCCCCAAGUAGAGCGGCGAACGGGUGAGUAACACGUGGGUGAUCUUCCUUCGAGUGGGGAAUAACACCGGGAAACUGGUGCUAAUACCGCAUGACAUCCCUGGUUCAUUCCAGGGAUCAAAGCCGGGGACCGCAAGGCCUGGCGCUUGAAGAUGAGCCCGCGUCCGAUUAGCUAGUUGGCGGGGUAACGGCCCACCAAGGCUCCGAUCGGUAGCCGGCCUGAGAGGGCGGACGGCCACACUGGGACUGAGACACGGCCCAGACUCCUACGGGAGGCAGCAGUGGGGAAUUUUUCGCAAUGGGGGAAACCCUGACGAAGCAACGCCGCGUGGAGGAUGAAGGCCUUCGGG
Molecule: ribosomal RNA, 360 nt
Filed under: uncultured bacterium
Lineage: Bacteria
Description: bacterial SSU rRNA
Rfam family: Bacterial small subunit ribosomal RNA
Source: RNAcentral